AAAUUGAAGAGUUUGAUCAUGGCUCAGAUUGAACGCUGGCGGCAGGCCUAACACAUGCAAGUCGAACGGUAACAGGAAGAAGCUUGCUUCUUUGCUGACGAGUGGCGGACGGGUGAGUAAUGUCUGGGAAACUGCCUGAUGGAGGGGGAUAACUACUGGAAACGGUAGCUAAUACCGCAUAACGUCGCAAGACCAAAGAGGGGGACCUUCGGGCCUCUUGCCAUCGGAUGUGCCCAGAUGGGAUUAGCUAGUAGGUGGGGUAACGGCUCACCUAGGCGACGAUCCCUAGCUGGUCUGAGAGGAUGACCAGCCACACUGGAACUGAGACACGGU
This 333-nucleotide ribosomal RNA is filed under the name Escherichia coli. RNAcentral describes it as "bacterial SSU rRNA". It matches the Rfam family "Bacterial small subunit ribosomal RNA", at positions 1 to 330 of the family's 1533-position model. The record is from RNAcentral. Lineage: Bacteria; Pseudomonadati; Pseudomonadota; Gammaproteobacteria; Enterobacterales; Enterobacteriaceae.